RNAcentral lists this ribosomal RNA (325 nucleotides) under uncultured bacterium. RNAcentral's name for it is "bacterial SSU rRNA". It matches the Rfam family "Bacterial small subunit ribosomal RNA", at positions 1069 to 1392 of the family's 1533-position model. The record is from RNAcentral.
GAGAUGUUGGGUUAAGUCCCGCAACGAGCGCAACCCUCGUCCUUAGUUGCCAUCACUUAAUGGUGGGAACUCUAAGGAGACUGCCGGUGACAAACCGGAAGAAGGUGGGGAUGACGUCAAGUCAUCAUGGCCCUUACGGCCGGGGCUACACACGUACUACAAUGGUGGGGACAGAGGGCAGCAACACCGCUUGGUGGAGCCAAUCCCAAAAACCCUAUCCCAGUCCGGAUUGCACUCUGCAACUCCACUGCGUGAAAUCGGAUUCUCUAGUAAUCGCAAAUCACCAUUGCUGCGGAAAAUCCUUUCCCGGGUCUUGUACACACCG